GUGACCAACCUUUUUCACUCUCCAUUUCUUCUAUCACCAACCAUGUUCUAUGCUUUAACAAAACUACCCGGUCUCUCUUUCACAAAAAAACCCUAAUCCCCAAAUCCCAGUUUCACCCAAAAUUCAAUAUAUUAAGCCAUUUAUUCGAUGCGAUAUAACAAGGUCUAAAUGAACAGAUGCCAAUCGGAGAAAAGGAAGCUUAAAUCAAUAUAACAUAUUAAACCAUUUAUCCGAGGUCCGUUUCGAGGUGUCUGAAUGGUGGUAAUUCGGUUGUUGUUGUUGUUUCUGGUGGUGGUGAUAGUGUGAAUUUGUUCUAAGAGGCGUGGGAGGUCUGUGUCUAAGAAUAAUGACGGUAAUGAUGCUGGUAGUGCAGAUAGGGUUGUUUCGGAUAGUGAUUGAGGAAACGGCGGUCUAUUUCGGUUGUUCAACAUCAGAUUAGUGGCUCUGAGGAAGAACGUCGAUGGAUGGCUCAAGAAGUACGCAGUUACGUUGAAGCAGUUCUCAACACGCUUGCUGCCAAUGUCCAAAGGCAGUUCAUUGCCAAGUAGAAAAGGCUAAAGAAGAUAGCUCAAUAAACUAGUUUUAUAAAAGUGGAAAGAAAGAAUGCGUGGCUAAAUCUGCAGCUGAAACUAAACCUCAAGCUGCUAUGCUGAAAUAACGUCAGGCUUAUGUGGUUUGAACUUAGAACAUGUUUAAAAAAAUUCUUAGUGCUUACAAUUUUUUUUCAUCUGAUUUAUCAAAUUUACACUUGAAUGAUGAUCAAAGUUUGACUUUUC
RNAcentral lists this long non-coding RNA (776 nucleotides) under Helianthus annuus (common sunflower). RNAcentral describes it as "hypothetical non coding rna". The record is from RNAcentral. Lineage: Eukaryota; Viridiplantae; Streptophyta; Magnoliopsida; Asterales; Asteraceae.